UCCCAUGUGGCUCAGUUGGUAGAGCAUGGUGUUUGCAACGCCAGGAUUGUGGGUUCGAUUCCCACGGGGGAC
Molecule: transfer RNA, 72 nt
Filed under: Salmo salar (Atlantic salmon)
Lineage: Eukaryota; Metazoa; Chordata; Actinopteri; Salmoniformes; Salmonidae
Rfam family: tRNA
About the family: Transfer RNA (tRNA) molecules are approximately 80 nucleotides in length.
Source: Rfam by way of RNAcentral